GUGUACAGACUACAGACAGUGUUGAUGAUAAAUGUAAUAAACACCAACGUAUCAUUUCCUUUAGAAAGGCCUUUGAUCUAAUCUGAAAGGCUCAAGGUGAUGUUGAAAGUUGUUAGGUCCCUGUUCAGGGCACCAUACAAGGGAAGGAAGCAAUUUAUUUUAAUUAAACAUAUAUCCAUGUUAUUAUGCCAAAUUUAUUUUCUCCUGUGGGAAGAUAUGGAUAGAUGGGAUUUAAGUAAUGUUGAUAUCUUGUCCACGAAAGAGAUAAAAAAAAAGAGAUCAGAAUCUAUAAUAGAAAAGUAGUGGAUGGGGUUUGGAUUAAGGUAGCAUUUUAGUUUUUAAAAAUAAAUUUUAAAAAAAUAUUUUUAGUUACAGUUUUAUUAAAAUUAUAAUGAAAUAAAUUUUUGCAUGUAAAAUAAAUAAAAAAUAUAUUAUUUUAAUUUUUACAAAACUAAAAAUUAAAAAAUAAUUAUAUAUGAUCCAGGUAUAAAAAAUAUAAAUUAUUUAAAUAAUCAGACAGAUUUUUUUAUAUUAUUGAACAAAAACAAAAACUAUACUAAUACCCACACAUAAAGCACGUAAAAUAUCCAAAAUAGUAUAAAGAUUUUUUUUUCUAACCAUAUGAUUACCCUCUGCCAACCACUAAAGGCCUGCCAUAAAUUUUAAUUUUUUUUUUAAAUUGAGCAAAAGGAAUAACUCCACUGCCAUAAAAGUAACAUAGAUGAUCACAAUUUUGAUAGCCUCAUUAUUUUUGUAUUUAAAAUAAUUUAAAAUCUUUUUAUUUUUUUAAAUUAAUUUUUUUUUUCAUGUUUUCAUAUUAUUUUAAUAUAAUAAGAUUAAAAAAAUAUUAAUUCCAGAUAUUUCGAAACAAAAGUCACUUGAAAAAAAAACAACCGCGUGUUGAAUUGAGGAGCAGUGCUGACAAAAAUGAUCAGAUAUGGAUGAUGAAGAAAUAUCUACAAUGUUGUGGGACCAGGCAAAAGGGCCCCAUCUCUAUCGUACCCUUAUUCCUCUCUCCUUCUAUCUUCUGGGCAUGAAUUAAUAUGAAUGCUUUAAUUUACCGCCGUUGAAAAUACCAGUUUCUUUAUCCAUUUCGUGCACACACUGACACGUCGGCGAUGAAGAGUAGCUUGCCGACACCUUAGAAAUGUUAUCCUUAAAAAAUAUUUUUAGUUACGGUUUAAAAAAUAUAAAUUUAAAAACUAAGUGUUUUAUUAAAAUUAAAAUUAAAUAAAUUUUUACAAGUAAAAAUAAAAACAGUCUUUAUAAAUAAAUAUAAAAUAUUGUCACAAAUAUGCGGCGUCGCGGCGAUCGCUCACCACCCUCAUCAGGUGUGGAGUGUUUAUCUCGGCAAAUAUAGAAAGACAAGGAAUUCUUGUCUUUUAUCAGUAAAAAAAAUAGAAUGGGAGUUGUCACAUAGUAUUUUGGUCACAUGAACUCUAACUGGUCUUAAAGAUCGGGUACGAAGAUUGAUUGCGUAAAGGGAAGGUAUUAGCACUCCAAAUACGUCCUACCUAAGAUAAGAUGCAUUGUUUUAUUGUCUGAUAAAAACUAAGGUCUUGUCGUGUUCUCUAAUUUUUUAUUUGUCUAUGGUUUAAGAAAAGUCUCCGUAGGUAAGGAGGUCCUUAUCUUAUCGAGUAAAAACCUAAUUGUGCUAACGUCAAAUAAAAAAAACUACCUUUUUAAUAUCGGGAGUACGUUUUACAUAUAAAUUCGUAAUCCCGGAUAUUAAAAGAAAACAAAAUAUUUUUUUGAGUGUUUUUUUGAAAUAUUGGCCUAGUUCUUGUGACUUAAAUAAACUGGUUAUUAAAGCCUAGAUGCAUGCUAAUACAUAAUUUUUGAAUUUUUGUUGUAUAAAAAUAUGAUGUGAUUUUUUCUUUGAGAGACUUGGCCGUAUGCAUGAAAACAAAAAAAAACAUUUUUUUUAAGUUUUUACGAAAACCGGGUAUUUUAAUACCGCAUUUGUGUUUUUACGGUAUAUAAAAAACAAACCGAUAUUAAUUAAAAUGGAUAGAAAAAUAUGUAAGAAAAUCAUGGAUGUUUUUGAAAAUGUAUUUUUUUUUGUAAAUUUUUUAACGGGCCGGACCCGAAACAAAAUUGGGCUGGGACCGAUUCGAAUAAAACACAAACUACCUUAUAUUGGGUUAGACUCAGCCCAGCCGCGUGGACUGGGCUGAUGAUCCAACCCGGGCUAGUUACUGUGCCAUGCACAGUAACCAGCUAAAUGUAAUUAUCCGGUAAUUGUGCUCAUGCACAGUAACCGGGUAAUUAUUUUGCCUUGCAUUGCAGAAACAUGCACAGUGCACGUUCUGCAUGCAAGGGAAUGAAACGGGAAAACAGAGACGAAAGGACGAGAAUUACCUUGAAUGGAGGCGCUCUGGUAGCUGAGCUGACAGUGGCUAGUGGUGACGGUUGAGAGGUGACGGUGGUGUUGCUGUAGUGGCAGACAGUGGUUGUAGCAAGAAGAGGAAGAAAGGAGAAGAAAUCUGCAGAGGUUGACGAUAGUGACAGUCGCGGUGGCUGAUCCGCCUCCUAUGAAGAUCUGGGUUGAUGUAUAUGGAGUGUACAGACUGGUGGUGGUGGUGGUUGUGGCAGGAGGUCGCGGUGGAGAGAGAAACAGAGAGGUUCUGCUGGCAGCAGAAACCGAGUUAGGAAGGCUGGUUUAUUUGCUGUCUUUGGACCGAAAUUUCUCCACACCUGGAGCAUUAAGAUCAAAUAUAUUUAUAGGCGGUGGAAGAGGGACACUUUUUCUCUUCUGGUUCGACCUGAAAGCAUCCCAACCAUUGGCUCAAAGUAGCAAUGAUGAACUGUCAGUUUUGCAUGAAAAAUGGCUGGUCGGGUUGGCCACUUUGGGGCGGUGCCACCGCCUCUACAGCCUCGAUCAGCCCGAACAGCUUACACUAGCGUGUAGUCAGGUAUCACAGGAUCGUUUGCUUGUACAUUUCAUCCAAUUUGGUGAAGAAACGAGGCGCCAAAUGCCUUUGAAAGGUGGCCACCCAACCAGCCUUGCUGGAGAAGAAGAUGAAUAGUAUCUUACAAUUUAGUCAUUUAAUUUUGUUCAAUUUUACCCAUGGAGAACUUCAAUUUAAACCGCAGAUUUCGGCGCAUUUUUCCAUUUGGUCCUUGGUUUUGGAUUUAUGCAAUUUGACCCUUAAUUGAUCAACAAACUUUCAAUUUCUUCAAUUUGACCCCUGAUUUGGUCAAUUCCAGUCCCUUUAUUUACGCGCCUUUUCCAAUUUGGUCCCUGGUUUUAAAUUUCUUCAAUCAAGCCCCUAAUUGGCCAUCAAACUUUAAUAUCUAUUCAAUUAAGCCCCUGAUUUGACCAAAUCAACUCUCAAAAAUUGUACUUUGACCCCAGAACCUUAAUUUCUUCCAAUUAAAGCCUAAAUUGACUUAAAAAUCAAUUUUUGUUGUAAUCAAUCCCUAUAUAAAUUCAAUUAAACAUCCAAUAAAAUUUAAUUGGGUCCAUAAACAUCUGAUUUUGGAUUUUUUUUCCUCCAAUUGAAUUUUUCUUUGUCAACAGGGCUCUUCAUCUGUAAAAUAUAUUGUCAAAUUUUAAUCUUUGAAUUUUUGAGCCUCCUCAACCAACUUAUAGCCAUUUUCUGGGCGCUCUGACAUCCUCUUCUCACUGUUAUUAUUUUUUAGAUUUUUUUUUGUUUUUUGUUGGAAUAUUUUUAGAUUUUUAGAAGAGAAAAAGUAAAUUUGGGGAAUAGCCCAAAAAUGAGUUAUGACAAUUGCCCCCCUCUUUACAAUGCUUACGACAUAAGAGAUUUUAGAUAGUAAGCUUUGUAAAGAAGAAAAAGAAAAGACAACAGACUCACCAUAUCAAGAAAUGAUGAAUUGUUUGAGGGCUGGAAAACGCACUCAGACUAAAAAUUGAAAGAUUUUUCUUUUGAAAUUUGAAAGAUUUUGAAAUGGGAAAAUUGUAAUGGGUGACCUACCUAGAAAAAGGAUGGUCUCAUUGUAAUGGGUGACCUACCCAAGAGGAAAAAAAGAAGAGUGGUCGCGUUGUAAUAGGUGACCUACCCAGAAAAAGGAUGGUCUCAUUAUAAUGGGUGACCUCCCAAAAGGAAAAAAAAAUGAGUGGUCUCAUUGUAAUGGGUGACCUACCCAGGUGAAGGAAUGAUCUCAUUGUAAUGGGUGACCUACUCAGAAAAAGGAUGGUCUCAUUGUAAUGGGUGAACUAUCCAAGAGAAAAGAUGGUCUUAAAAAGGAUGGUCUCAUUGUAAUGGGUGAACUAUCCAAGAGAAAAGAUGGUCUUAUUGUAAUGGGUGACCUACCCAAGAGAAAAAAAGGAAGAGUGGUCUUAUUGUAAUGGAUGACCUACCCAGGUGAAGGAAUGGUCUCAUUGUAAUGGGUGACCUACCCAGAUAAAAAAAAAAAGGAGAAUUGAUCGCGUUGUAAUGGGUGACCUACCCAUAAAAAUAUUGGUCUCAUUGUAAUGGGUGACCUACCUAGAUAAAACAAACAUGGAGAAUUGGUCGCGUUGUAAUGGGUGACCUACCCAAAAAAAUUGUUGGUCUCUUUGUAAUGGGUGACCUACCCAGAUAAAAAAUAUAGAGAAUUGGUCGCGUUGUAAUGGGUGACCUGCCCAGAAAAAUGUUAGUCUCAUUAUAAUGGGUGACCUACCCAAGAAAAAAAGAAAGAGUGGUCUCAUUGUAAUGGGUGACCUAUCCAAGUGGAAGAUUGUAAUGGGUGACCUACCUAGAUCAAAAACAUGGAGAAUUGGUCGCGUUGUAAUGGGUGACCUGCCCAGAAAAAAAAUGUCGGUCUCAUUGUAAUGGGUGACCUACCCAAAGAAAAAGGAAAGAGUAGUCUCAUUGUAAUGGGUGACCUACCCAAGUGAAAGAAUGGCCUCAUUGUAAUGGGUGACUUACCUAGACAAAAAAACAUGGAGAAUUGGUCGCGUUGUAAUGGAUGACCUACCCAGAAAAAUAUUGAUGAGGGCUCAAAGGCGUACUCGAAAAGAGGUAGGGUUAGAAAACGCACUACCUAAGGGAUGGUGGCUCAAAGGCACACUCGAAAGGAGGUAGGGUUAGAAAACGCAUUACCUGAGAAGUGAGGGCAUAAAGGCGCACUCAAAAGGAAGUGAGGGCACAAAAGCGCUCUUCAAAUGAAGUAUGGUUAAAAAACGCACUACCCAAAAGUGAUGAUGAAACAUCGAUCUGUCAAUGUUGAAAGCAAUGCAUUAUGAUCAAUAUGCAUGUAUACUUACCUGAGAAAUAUAGGUCCUCAUUUCUUCAUGGUGUCUUUCUUUUCUCAAAAGUUGGAGUGUUGGCAGUAGACUUCGAUGGCUUUUUCGCUCUUGCUUACUCGAGUCAUCUCUUGUGAUCUUGACCUCUAGGAAGGACUUGAUAUCAUCAUACUUCUUUGUCUUCCAUCCCUUUAUCUCAAGGGUUGUCAAUUUUGCCCGACAGUUUUCUUAGGAAGGUAAUCAUGGAGCCAGCCCUACCAGAAGUUUUUGAUUGCCCCCCAGCUUGAUCAUGCCCCCAAAUAUUCAAUUCGGGUUUAGGGAUGAGGCUAUGUGAAGGAAGGUUUGACAAGGAGUUGUUAUCAUGCAGAUUUUUUUGGAAUUUCAAAGCUAUUCCAGACACAGAAAUCAUUUUGACAUCGAUUCAAAGCAAACUCAUUCUGAAGAAAUUCAAGUGAUUCCUAUGGAGAGGUUUUCAGAAGUGAUGAACCUUUUGUCUUGAUUUUGGUGAAAAUAUGAAGUGACAUUUGGUUGGUCAAAAUGGUUCAAGAUUUAAUAUGAGAGUUUCAAUGAACCAGUCUUUAAAGCAUUCAUUUUAUUUGUAUGGAUAAUAGAGCUUGGUUCGCAUGAGAAAGCAUCGCCUACCGAUCCAGAUUGCUUGCCUUUGAUCAGAAAGGGCUUGAUUAAACGCGUAAUGUAGGCUUGGGCUAUUGGUUAUGAAGAAAAAGGAUAUUUACAAGCUCAAAAGGUGUUUAAGAGAUUUCAAGACUAAGGAUCACUUGUGCUUGUUUCCUGACCUUUUGUCUUUGGAAUAUCUUCCCAAAAUGGUCUAUCGUGCCCCCUAGUGUUGGGCUUAGGCUCUUUCUCUUUGUUUUUGUUUUUUUUAAUUGGUUUUGAGUAUCAUUGUAUUGGAUUUUUUUUUAUGCUCUGAAGUUUUAGAUCUUUUGGAUUUUUCUUCAUGUCCCCAGCUUUGUUUUGGCACCUUCGAUGGUUGAGAAUUUUCUUUUAUGCCCCCCAGUGUUGCUUGGGCACUUUUAAUCAUUGUUUUUUUCUUCUUCUCGCACUUGCUCCCAGUGUGGGGUGUGAUCCUAGCCAAGGUUAUUCCUAAAAAAAACUUUAUUAGGCUCAAAAGAGGACUGCAAAGGAUAUAUUUUAGCCUCGUGAAAUGAUUAUCAAAGAUGGCCUUUCUUCAUUCCAAACUCCUGCAUUUAGGAUCGGUAAGCCUUGCUUUCAUGCGAGUAUGCAAAGUGAUUUCUCAUUAUUCAUUCAGAUAAAACUCAGCUUUGGAGUCACAUCAUGGUGUUUUUGUUGUUUGUUUUUUUUUGUUUUCUAGGUGUAUGAUUACCUUUCUAAGGAAUCGCUUGAAUUUUCAGAACUUGUUUGUUUAGACAAAUACCAAUAUGAUUUCUGUCUCAUAUCAAAAACUUUGAAUUCCAAAAAAAAAACUUUAUGAACAUGUGAAAUCAUGCAUAAUUGGAGGGAAAAAGUGAAACACGUAAGUGGUUUCAUGGGUAAAGGUUAUGCUUAGUGUGUUAUUUGUAUGAAAUGGCAACAAAAAUAAAAGUACGUUAUGAGAACACAGGAAAACACAUGGUCUUAUUUAACAAGAAAUGCUCAUUUGACAGAGAAAGUCUUGUGGUAUUAUGAGCCCAAAUUACCAACAAGACUGAAACAAGUUAAAACUGACAUGAUCAAACAAAAGACAAUAAUAAGGCAUGCUUCAUCCUUUCAUUUUGGCAAAUCCCCUUUUAGGCUAGCUUCCCCACAACAGCUCUUGUAGAGGACUCAUUGACGAUAUGGACAAAAACUAUGGUCGAAAUUCGAGACCUUCAAAAUUUAUGCUGCCUUUUUCGCACCCUACCUAAAUCAUCGGUGCUUUCAGAUUUCCCGGACAUUCCACCGCUAGUGCAUUUAUGAUCUACCACUUCAAGCAUGAUUAGGUAGAGGGUUCGUGUUCACAUUAGAAGUGUCUUCCAAUUCUAUCCACCCUGCCUUGAUUAAUUGCAAAAGUUUUCUCUUGAAGGCGUUGCAAGUAUGGAUACUAUGUCCAGCAACACCAGCAUGGUAUGCGCAAGUGAGCUCUGGCUUGUACCAGCUAGGGUAAGGUGGCUGCACCGGCGUCAGAGGUUCGGGAGCUACACGCCCGAUGCUUAAUAACUUCUGGUACAUCGCAUUUAGGGGUAACAGUAAUGGAGGUAGUUGUUCUUGGACCCUUUGGUAAUUUCCAAUUUGGCUUUUGGCUUGAAAAGGCUCAGGUUUUUUUAUUUUGGCAAUUUGGGACGGAGUGUGGUAGUUUUGGGAUGAGUUUUUCCUACCCUUGUAGCCAUCUUCAACAUGGUUGACCUCCUUCCUUUCGAAGCCUUUUUUUCGGUGGGUGCAGAAAUUCUACCACUCUUGACGCCUUGCUCUAUGCGUUCGCAUACUACCACAACGUCAGUGAAUUGUUGAGCCGAACUACCCAUCACAUGCUCGUAAUAUGGCGCUUUGAGUGUGUCGGCAAAUAAAGUGACCAUCUCUUUGUCCAAAAGUGGAGGAUGGACUUGAGCAACUGAUUCUCGCCAUUUUUGAGCAUAUUCCCUUAUGCUUUCUUUGUCCUUUUUCCCUAGAUUGGACAAGCUAGUUCUAUCGAGAGCAAUGUCCAUGUUGUACUUGUAUUGCUUGACAAAAGCCUCCACAAGAUCUUUUCAUCUCCGGAUCUUUGUGUUGUCCAAUCUCAUGUACUAGUUCAAUGCUGACCCACUUAAGCUAUCCUAAAAAAAAUGCAUCAAUAGUUUUUCAUCAUGCACUACUUCUGCCAUUUUAUUGCAAUAGGACUUGAGGUGAGUCAUGGGGCAUUGUGUUCCACUAUAUUUGAUGAACUCAGGAACACGAACUUCUUCGGGACAACCAUAUUUGGGACUAGACACAUCUUCGCUGCCCGUACUGGAUCAUAUAAGUCUACCCCUUCAAUGACUUUGAUUCUGGCUUCCAGCGUCGCUAUCUUUUCUUGAUUAAGGCCAUCAGAUGACUUGGCCUGGUGGGACUCGUUAGCAAAUGCAUCCAUGACUGCUGGGGCUGGUGCAGGUGUCGUUGACUGCACAAAUGCUGGAUUAUAUUGAGGCUCUUGACCAUGUUCACUCAUUAUUUCUUUGGGUUGAGCUGUUGUUGGAGUCUGAUUAAAAGUGACCGGUCGGUUAGAAGGACCUUCACCAGAGGCAUUUCUCAAAGUUUGCUCGAGUAAGCUAGUAAGGCGAGCUACGCUUGUCUUCAGAGACUCCAAUUCUUCUUGAAAAUAGGCAUCACGGUGAGCGCGUUCUUCAUCUUCCAUGUUUCUCGCUCGAAGUCGGGUGUUGUAGACUCAUUGGGGACCUAUAUUUCAACAUGUUGUAUGUAUGUAUGUUAUUUACAAAUGAAUGGAUGUAUGCAUAUGGAUGCAAAUGUAUAUACAUGCAUAUUAGAGAGUUCAUACUCUAGCGAUAGGUUUUAGGCCAUUACAUGAUGGGUGGCUUUUUACCUGGUCUCAAAAGGGUCUCUUGUUGUCCCAGUGAUCACCCUCGUGAAGGCAAUAUAGGGGCUCAGCAGGUAAUGGGAUGGCAUGUGCACCAAUCAUUAUCAGUUUAAGCUCUCAACGAAGAGUUGAGGUUUACACAAACGUAAACCUUGACUAAAAGUCGUAAAGUAAGCUGCUAGUCCCUCACCUAAUUAAAGUUUUUCGGUAUAAAUUCCCUUAAAAUGUGAAUGAUGCAUUAAGCAAUUUUACAAUGCAAACAAAUAUGUACAAAAUUAAAGCGUAUGAGCAAAUGAGGAAAUACAUUGUCGUACCCUCGCGGCGGAGCUUGGCGUCGCGGCGACCCUCAAUUGAUUUCUGGGUCGUUUUGUUUAUUUAUGGAUAAAGAGAGUCGCCACCUAGUAUUAUGGUCACUAGGAACCCUAACUGGUCUUUCAGAGAUUCUAAGGCAAGUGACUGGUUGCGUAAAGAGAAGGUAUUAGCACCUCUAGCACGCCCUACCUAAGGUAAGUUGCUUGGUGUUUGGUUUACCUUAUAAUUGCUAUGGUGUUGGUGUUUUCUAAUCCCAUCAGUUUUUCUAAGAUACAUUUUGCUAUGUUGAACAAACUCGAACUGAAAGUCUAAAAAGAAAGAACCCUUGGUCAAUGUGGAUCACACCCUUAGAUGUGUCUACAAAGUACCAAGGAGAACCAAUGCAGAUCUCUUGAAAUCUGUGUUUGAUUCAGACUAAACUUAUUAAGAUAGAAAUCCAAGGAGAUUCCAUGUGCUUUAAAAGCUCAUUUUUCCCUUAGUAUUUCAAGAGUUUACGACUCGUAAAUCACAAGGAGGAGGGACAAAAAUUUAAAAAUCUAAGGAAAUUCAGGGCGCUUUAAAAGUAUAUUUUUGCCUUAGUGUUUCAUACUCUCACGACUCGUAAACCAUGGAGUAAAAAAAAUGGAAAUGUCCUUGAUUAUAAUCAAGGCUUCUUUCUAGGAUGUGUAAUGACUUAUUAUUCAUAGAAAAUUAUUUUGGAUAUUUACUACUUAGGGUUUCUUUAUCCAAAUGUUAACAGUGAAUAAUAACCAGUUAUUCCCAAUAAUAUUUUGGAUAUUCAUUCAUUUGGGAUUUCUUUAUCCAAACAUUAAUAGUGAAUAAUAGAUGAAUUCCCCACAAAAUAAGAUUUUUAUAAUUUUUUGGAAUAUUGGCCAAUACCCUUUGGAGUUUUACAAACAUGUUGUAAAAUCCAGAAAUGCAAGAAAAUAAUUUUGUUGUGUUUAAGAAAUCCAUGCGAAGACACAUUUUCGAAAACUUCCAAUAUAUUUUUUUUAUAUAAAAAAAAACGUUCAAAACAUGUUAGGGUAUUGACCGUAUGCAAUACACAAGAAACAUUGUUUUUGUCAAAAACACGGAAAACAUGAGAGUCAGUCGGUUAAAAAAACCAUACACAUCCAUUCCAAAAUUUGUAAAAAAAAACUCAAAACACUGAUAUAUAUAAAAAUAAAUUUUCCAAAGCUAAAUUUUACUCACAUAAGAUUCAGUCGGUCCACUUAAACCCAAAUCCUAUGAAAAAAAUCCUUAUGCACCAGAAGACUAAGAUUCGGAGACCGAAACCAUAACAGGAACCAUAACUCACCAAUUCCUUUUUUCAAUCUUUUAAUACUGCCACGCUUGUUUCAUGCAUAAAGAAAAGACUUGAGCAGCACCCUUAUAUUAAACAAUUAAAAACUAACAACACAAACCAAAGGCCAUCUCUCUCUUGUUUUCAAAAGAAAAUAACAUAAAUGAAAACGUGAACCAAAAGUCUGCCAAAAGGGACUCUUCUCAUGCCUUUUACUUUCUCCACGGAACAUUCUCUUGCGUUAUUUACUUUCUCCUUUGGCCAAAGCUUUGUUUAGAAACAGAACUUCUCUUAUGCAGCAUUAUAAGACCGAGAGGUACCGGACAAAGGGGACUAGAGGUGGUGAAGGCCUUUAAGCCUCACAGUCUCUUACAAAAAAAAAAGGGAGAAGGAAGAGACGCAUAACUCUAAUAUAGACAAACUAUCUAAACUCAACAUGUAUGAAAAAACAAAUGAGCAAGCGUACAACUUGUUGACAAAACAGAAAAAACGUACGUCCCAGACGAGCAGAAACAGGUUUUUUGAAAGAACAAUCAGCAGACACCAGCUUUGAAAUAUUGCAAGGAAGGAGAAACUAAAACUUAUACCUGCGAAUCCUGCUUGUUCUGAAUGCCAAAGAUGACGUACCAGCCGAUGGGCAAAGCUUCUGCAUUCUCGCCUCUGGUGACCACAGAAAGACUCCUUCUCUUUCCUUUCUCCUCUCUCUAUUUUGGUCUUCUCUGUCUCUCCCGUUUUUCUCCUCUUUUCUGUCUUUUUUUUCUCCUUUUUUUCCGUCCUCUUUUCUGUCCUCUUUCUCUCUUUUUUUCAUCCUCCUUUUUUUCUCUUCUUAGGUCAGCAGAGGCAGCGUAUAUAUAGUCUAUACACAGCUCUUAUUAGGAAAGAUUCAAUGCAUUAAUCUAGGAUGCAAAUCCCAGCUGAUUUUCAGCCAAAUAAUUAAAAUGAGGAAACUACAAUAUUCUCAUUGAUUAUGUGCUGAUUCUAGUGAUUUCUUUCCAACAUUAACACAUCAUCCCAGCCAUCUAUGUUAAGGAUAAAAUCCUAGCCAUUAGAUGAUGGUGAGGUUCUUCUCUUUAUGGCAUUUUGCAGCUGUCAAAAGCUGCUGUUUCCUAUGAAUUAUAGCUGCACAAAAACAUGAUUUUCCUUAUUCGGUGUGGUAGAAAUCCCGUCAUUUAUGAUCACCCAGCCCCCUCUCCAGCUUCCAAUAUCCUUCUUCAAUUAAAUCCCUCAUUUUAGCACUUUUCAAUUCAGUCCUUGGUCCCAAAAAAAUCCCUCGAAUCAGGCUCGCGAACAUGGGCAAAAAUCCUUCUCGCAGCAAGAAUCCCUGCUUUCACACUAGAUAUUCAUAUGGGAAUAUCUUGAGCUUCUGAUAUUGAAAUCAAGCGAUUCAAAAGCCCAAAUUCAUCUACGUGUCCUGGACUACAACUUUGAUGAAGGAUUCGAAGUGAGAUAAAUUUGUUUUGAAUAAUAGAAUUGAAACCAAACUCGGCUAGAAACCUUCUCGCGGCAGGAUUCUAUGUUUUCACGCUAGAUUUCAAAUAGGAAUAUCUUGAGCUUCUGAUAUCAAAAUCAAUCAAUUCAAAAGCCUAAAUUCAUCUACGUGUCCCGGACUACAAAUUUGAUGAAGGAUUCAAAGUGAGAUAAAAUCGUUUUAGAUAACAGAAUCUGGCAGGGAUCUGGCUGGUCAAAAAGGUUUUCUUGAUCUGACAAUGUCGAGCAUCCAAAUCUGACUGAGAGUCUGCCCUAAGAACAGUAACCCCUAUGACCCAAUAAAGGUGUAGGUCAAUUCUUCGACAUGUCAUGAGUGAUAGCAAAUAGCUAGGAUGGUCAGAUAUCGUACGAAACCAAGUCAGAAUCAGAGCCUAAGUUCAAACAAAAAAUUGCGACAGCAGCAGAAUCAGUUUUUUUAGUGCAAAUUUUGAGGGAUUUAUCCAACCUUUAAAACAAGAUAACGAAAGAACGAAUUUAGCAUUAUGAAGACCCCUAGUGAGUCUAAGAAACCUGACGAUUUUGGCAGCAAAGGGGAAGGAUAAAGAGAGUAGAAAACAGCUCAAACAGGGUUUCAAAAAAAUAUUUCUUUUUCUGCUUUUGUCAAUCUUCCAACAAACAUGAGUUAAACUCCUACAUUUAGUUCAAAAGAGGUAUACACCGUCUCCAGCACGUGGAGUACAAAAAUGAGUAAUAACAGUUGCCCCCUCUUUACAAUGCUUACAAAGCAAAACUUGUCAAGUGCUUCGCGUAGUAAGUGUUGUAAAGAUAAAUUGUCUAAUCAUGCUAAAACUCAAUGCUUUUUCUAAACAAUAGUCUCCCUAUCAGGUAACCUGCCUAUCUUAAGAUUUCUAGAAAAAUUCCACUUUUUUUUUAAAAUGGUCCAAUUAUCGGGUGACCUGCUCAUCCUAAAAUUCUUAGAAAACUCACGCUUUUCUAAGAAAUGGUUUCAAUAUCAGGUGACCUUCCCAUCUUAAAAUUCUUAGAAAACUCCACGCUUUUCUAAGAAACGGUCUCAAUAUCGGGUGACUAGCCCCUCUUAAAAUUCUUAGAAAACUCCACGCUUUUCUAAGAAACGGUCUCAAUAUCGAGUGACCGGCCCAUCUUAAGAUUCUUAGAAAACUCCACGCUUUUCUAAGAAACGGUCUCAAAAUCGAGUGACCGCCCAUCUUAAGAUUCUUAAAAAACUCCACGCUUUUCUAAGAAACGGUCUCAAUAUCAGGUGACCGGCCCAUCUUAAAAUUCUUAGAAAACUCCACACUUUUCUAAGAAAAUGUCUCAAUAUCGGGUGACCUGCCCAUCUUAAGAUUCUUAGAAAACUCCAUGCUUUUCUAAGAAACGGUCUCAAUAUCGGGUGACCGACCCAUCUUAAAAUUCUUAAAAAACUCCACGCUUUUUUAAGAAACAGUUUCAAUAUCAGGUAACCGACCCAUCCUAAAAUUCUUAGAAAACUCCACGCUUUUCUAAGAAAUGGUCUCAAUAUCGGGUGACCUGCCCAUCUUAAGAUUCUUAGAAAACUCCACGCUUUUCUAAGAAAUGGUCUCAAUAUCGGGUGACCUGCCCAUCUUAAGAUUCUUAGAAAACUCCACGCUUUUCUAAGAAACAAUCUCAAUAUCAAGAGACUGGCCCAUCUUAAAAUUCUUAGAAAACUCCAUACUUUUCUAAGGAAUGGUCUCAAUAUCGGGUGACCUGCCCAUCUUAAGAUUCUUAGAAAACUCCAUGCUUUUCUAAGAAACGGUCUCAAUAUCAGGUGACCAGCCCCUCUUAAAAUUCUUAGAAAACUCCACGCUUUUUUAAGAAACGGUUUCAAUAUCGAGUGACCGCCCCAUCCUAAAAUUCUUAGAAAACUCCACGCUUUUCUAAGGAAUGGUCUCAAUAUCGGGUGACCUGCCCAUCUUAAGAUUCUUAGAAAACUCCACGCUUUUCUAAGAAACGGUCUCAAUAUCAGAUGACCGGCCUAUCUUUAAAAUUCUUAGAAAACUCCAUGUUUUUCUAAGAAACGGUUUCAAUAUCCGGUGACCAGCCCAUCCUAAAAUUCUUAGAAAACUCCACGCUUUUCUAAGAAAUGGUCUCAAUAUCGGGUGACCUGCCCAUCUUAAAAUUCUUAGAAAACUCCACGCUUUUCUAAGAAACGGUCUCAAUAUCGGGUGAACUGCUCAUCUCAAACUUCAAAAGAAAACAUCUUACCUCAGAAAAUGAAGCAUUGCUGGUUCACAAUUCCUAUCCUUUUUUGUAGUUUCGUUGACCUGAGAUUUUGUACCUCAGCGGUUUUCCCAAAAACUUGGAACUAUUUUGGCUUUCGUCACAUCUUCUCCUGCUAGGUUAGUGUUAUAACAAUAUAGCAUGCAUGUUUUUUUGUUACCUAUUUUGGAAACAUAGGUCCCCCUUUCUGUUGUAGACUUAUUGAGCUCCUGUUUCCAUUUGUUUGUCCAACUCGUCCUCUUGAAAUGAAAUAUGCUCCACGUGUUAUACUUCCUAUCCUCUUGGUGAAGAGAUCUUUGGUUCCUUAUGGGGCCCUUUCUUGCUCUAUUGAGUAUUGUCUUUUAUUAUUAUUUUAAAAAGAAAAACUCAAAAGAUUUGGUUUUGUUCAUGAAAACUAAAACUUUCAAUGCAAUUAGCAAUUCUCAUAAAAGAUGCUUUUUUAGAAGUUUUUAUGAUGAUACCCCUUUGGGCUUUAGUUCACUAUGGACCCCUAUGUGCACUUUUUGCCCUAGUGUGGUGUGCAAUACCUGUCAGUUUAAAAAUUGGUUCGGUUCUCUCCAAUUGAUGGAGUCAUUUCCUUAGUCAUGCGUAAGAAAAGAGUUUAUUUAAGUAUGAGAUCAUGCGUUUUAUGAAGAAAAGGUGCUUUUCAGAGAGAAUUCAUGGCCGAACUUUAUUUUAUUGAUUGGGAAAUUACGGAAUACAUCAAGCAUAAUAUUUCCUUACAGAGUCAGAAUUCACUGGCCUAACUAGGUCUUCUCCAUCCAUUCUAGAUAACAGCAAAGCUCCUCCCGAGAAUGCUUUCUUCACCAUGUAAGGGCCCUCAUAGUUCGGUGCCCAUUUACUUUGAUCUUCUCCUGGUAAAGGCAAUACUUUCUUCAGUACAAGAUCUCCUUCGUGGAAUCCUCAAAGUCGAACCUUCUUAUCAUAUGAUUUGGCCAUUCUUCUUUGGUAUAGUUGAUGAUGGCAGAUUGCAGUGAUAUCCUCUUUUCACUUAUCAGAUUCAACUUUUCAUAUCUAACUUUUACUCACUCUACCUUUUCUAGCUCAGAGUCUACCAAUACUCUUAAUGAGGGGAUUUCAACUUCUAAAGGCAUCACCGCCUCUAUUCCAUAUACCAAUGUAUACGGGGUGGCUCCUAUUGAGGUUCGGAUUGCGGUGCGGUACGUGUGAAGGGAAAAUGGCAACAUCUCAUGCCAAUCCUUAUAGGUGACUACCAUCUUCUAAAUAAUCUUUUUGACAUUCUUGUUAGCAACUUCUACCACAUCAUUCAUCUUUUGUCUAUACGGCGAAGAGUUGGAAUGCUUGAUUUUCCAUUUAGCGCAGAGUUCUAUUAUCAUCUUGCCAUUGAAAUUCUGGCAGAGCCACCUAACCAACCUUGCAGGAGAAGAAGAUGAAUAGUAUCUUACGAUUUAGUCCUUCAAUUUGUGAUUUAUUUCUUUCUACACCCCUGAUUGGCUUCAAACUUUCAAUUUUGUUCAAUUUUACCCAUGAAGAACUUCAAUUUAAACCCUAGAUUUUGACGCAUUUUUCCCUUUGGUCCUUGGUUUUGGAUUUAUGCAAUUUGACCUUUAAUUGAUCAAUAAACUUUCAAAUUCUUCAAUUUGACCCCUGAUUUGGUCACUUUCAGUUUCUUUAUUUACGCGCCUUUUUCAAUUUGGUCAUUGGUUUUGGAUUUCUUAAAUCAAGUCCCUAAUUGGCCAUCAAACUUCAAUAUCUAUUCAAUUAAACCCCUGAUUUGACCAAAUCAACUUUCAAAAUUGUACUUUGACCCCAGAACCUUAAUUUCUUCCAAUUAAAGCCUAAAUUGACUUAAAAAUCAAUUUUUCUUGUAAUAAAUCCCUAUAUAAAUUCAAUUAAACCUCCAAUAAAAUUUAAUUGAGUCCAUAAACAUCUGAUUUUGGACUUUUUUUCCUCAAAUUGAAUUUUUCUUUGUCAACAGGGCUCUUCAUCUGUAAAAUAUAAUGUCAAAUUUUAAUCUUUGAAUUUUUGAGCCUCCUCAAACAAUUUCUAUAUAUUUUCUAGGCGCUCUGACAUCCUCUUCUCACUGUUAUUAUUUUUUAGAUUUUUUUUUUGUUUUUAGUUCGAAUAUUUUUAGAUUUUUUGGAAGAGAAAAGGUGAAUUUGGGGAAUAGCCCAAAAAUGGGUUAUGAUAAAUAUAUUAUUUUAAAUUUUACAAAACUAAAAUUUAAAAAAUAAUUAUAUAUAAGCCAAGUGUAAAAAACAUAAAUUAUUUAAAUAAUCAUACAAAUUUUUCUAUGUUCUUGGACAAAAACAAAAACUAUUGUAAUACCCAAACAAGCAUGUAAAAUAUCCAAAAUAGUAUAAAGAUAUUUUUUUUCUAACCAUAGGAUUACCCUCUGCCAACAACUAAAGGUGUGCCAUGGAUUUUAAUUAUUAUUUUUUAAAAUUGAGCACUAAGCAGAAGCUCACCCUACUACAAAAGCAUUACAAUAACAUCAAGAUCUUGAGAAACGAUAACCAACAAAGCAGAAACUGAUUAAGAGGAAGAAGAUUCCAAUAGCUUCACAUGAUAGUUUAGCAUUACAAAGCCUUUACUGAACCAACUAAAUGAUUUGCCUGGUCAAAGCAUCACUUUCCUUUUCUCUUUUUUUAAGUCUAAUGUUGAUAUAGUUUAGGUUCGUACUUGAAUUCUUUAUAGUAAACAUUCGGUUAUGUGUUUAAGACUGGUUGUUGAUAUGGUUCAGCCUUGGGUUUUUCAUGAUGAGUCUUUAUCUAGGGAUGUAUUCGGUCAGAUUGAGGUUCUUAUUGAUGAUGUGUUUGACCCAAUUAUUUUGAUGGGUAAUUCGACUAGAUCAGGACAGGUUAUGCAUGAGAUGUUUUUAGGCAGCAAAGAAAGUUUAUUUGGAGUAUAUUUUGGGUCUGGUUUGGUCCCUAUUAAUGAAUAUAGGUUUGGGACACGUGGGGUUCAAAGUUGGCUUGGGUUAAUUAAGAUGUUAUGAUCAGAUUAGAUCAGAUUUGUUUGGGAUUGAUUUUCUAAUUCUACAAGGACUUAAAUCAGCAAAAUACUCUCCUAAAAUUCAAGAAAAUUUCAAUCAUUAUUUUACCUAUUAUUUAGGAGAAUAGUUAACAACAAGGGAUGUUAAGGGGACUGCCAGAUCUGAUUUCAUAAACUAGGAAGGAUUAAUUAAUAAUUCUCCUAGUCUAGAUAGGAAACUAAAUUGGCAAGUAUAAAAGAGAGAUUUUCUUCAUUAAUUGUCCAUGUAAAACAAGAAAACUAAGCACAACAAGGUAAUAAAACUUCAGAAUCAAUUCCACAUUCAAAUCAGAUUUCCUAGUCUAUUUGGAACUUUUUAAGGGUGGCAAAUCUGAUUCAUAUUAACUUUGAAUUUUUAUUAUUUUCUUCUUAGUCUUUGGUUUAUUAUUACUUAUUUGGGUCAAUUUUGUAAGUGGGCUCAAAUCAGUCCACACAUGGGUUCCAUUAGGGUUAUUUGAAACAUUAUAUAAGUUUUGUGUAUAUUGAAAAGCAGAACACAUGAAUUUAUGAAAUAAACUUGUGUUUUGCGUGAUGAAACACAUUAUCUUUGUUGGGACAAAUAUCAAAUCUGACUUAUUAAUGCUGACCUUGUGGUGUCAUUCGUUUCAAUUCCAAUAGUGUUGGUGCCUUGGGACAGGUUUUUAUUGUGCCAAACUUCUCAAACCUAAUUCUCGGCUUUCUUGGAGAAGUAUCAUCUUCGUUGGAGGUUGCUUAACCACGUGAUCAAGAGGUUCGCAUUAAAUAUUUCUCUAUGAUCAUAUUGUAUUGAUGAAUCAAUAUAUUUUAUAUAUUUUAUUUUAUUGCCUAAGUCCAUGUUUAAAAAAGCUAAAGGCGGGGGGAUGAGAAUCACAUAAAAAGAGCAUGUCAAUCCUUUGAAAGUUCCAAGGUUAUUGCUUUAGAGAGACCUACAUGUUUUUUUUUUUUUUUCAUAUGAAGGAAUUUGUAGUGUUAAAAUUACAUUUGUUAGGUUUUCUUUUCAUUUUUAACUCCCUUUUUAAUCUAUUCUCAUAUAUGACAAAACAUUAAUUUUUAAAUACGAGGCACAUCAUGAAUAUUUUAUUUAUAAUAAAAUUCUUAAACUAGCCAAACAAAUAAAAAUUUAAACAAGAAUAAAAAAAAUAAAAGGUAAAGAAAACCGACAAGAAAAUUUGAAAAUAAUAUAAUCAAGAUGGUAAUUUUUUUUCUUUUAUUAGAAAGAAAAGAAAAGAAAUUAAAUUAGUCAUGCCUUCAUACCCACAACCAAUCAACAUGAUGUAGUAAAUGGGAAAAAAAAACUAGAAAUUGCCAGAAACUAUAAAUUUACGAAGAGGCUUGAAAAAAAAAGAAAAAAGAGAGAGAGAGAAUCAUUUCCUAGUCACCAACAUCAUCUAUUUCAUUAGCGUUUUGCAUGCUUUCUUUUCUAUUUUUGAUGUACUAGCUUCGUACUUGUGCUUUAUUUUAUUUUAUGAAUUUUAUACAACUUAACCUUUUUCAAAAAAAAAUAAUAAAACAAAAAAGAUGGUGUUUGUAACUUCUUUUAGUACUUGUUUAGCCAUUUUAUCUCUAGCUUAAUUUGAUCGAAUUUUGACAAUACUAAAUAUAAAUUAAUAUUUAUUUAUUUAUUUUUCAUAUUGAGGAAUUUGUAGUGUUAAAAUUACAUUUAUUAGUUUUCUUUUCAUUUUUAACUCCCUUUUUAAUCUAUUCUCAUAUAUGACAAAACAUUAAUUUGUAAAUACGAGACACGUCUAUUUACGAAUAGGCUUGAAAAAAAGAAAAAAAAAAAGAGAAUCAUUUCCUAGUCACCAACAUCAUCUAUUUCAUUAGUGUUUUGCAUGCUUUCUUUUCUAUUUUUGAUGUAUUAGCCUUAGCCUUGUGCUUUAUUUUAUUUUAUGAAUUUUAUACAACUUAACCUUUUUCAAAAAAAAAUAAUAAAACAAAAAAGAUGGUGUUUGUAACUUCUUUUAGUACUUGUUUAGCCAUUUUAUUUCUAGCUUAAUUUGAUCAAAUUUUGACAAUACUAAAUAUAAAUUAAGCUUUGGCUAUUCUUAUCUUCAAGGUAAUAUUAAGUACAUAUUAUAUUUCACUCAAACAAGUACAUGUUUCUUUUUGUAAUUUUGGUAAAAAAACUAAAUAUACAAGCUUUUCAAAUGUAUUUUUUUAUUCUAAUUAAAAAUAAAAAAAAGUCUAUUCCUUCAUUUAAUUAAAUAAUUGAGAACCAUCUAUGCGAAUAAAUACAAAAAAACAAAGUAUUAUCACAUCUAUUCAACUCUCCUUGCUGUGGAUUAAAUAAAUUUUUUUCUAACACAAAAGAAUUCUUGUGUAGGUAUUAUUAACGUUUUUUCUGACAUAAACUACGAAAGAUAACUGUGAAUCAAAAAGUCAAUGCUUAAAUAUAGUAAAGAUCAUAUGUGUUAAUAAAAACAUAUAAAAUUUCAAAUUAAUUUUUAACGUAGAAGAAAAAUAAGAAUAUAGCUUUUUGCAACGUAUAAACAUGUAAACAUAUUAAGUACAUGUUAUAUUUCACUCAAACAAGUUCAUGUCUCUUUUUGUAAUUUGAACAUCGAAGCAGUAACUAUGCUUUAAAUAAAAUAAAAAAUAAACCUUCCUUGUAUUUGAACCUUACAAGGCAUUUUAUAUAUUAACAAUAUCUAAAUGGUGUGGGGGAAUCACUGUUUCCCCACACCUAAAUCAUUAUGUAUUACAACAGUAAUUCACCGUGAUUCUUCCCCCCUUUUGUUUUUGCUAACUUUUUCCUUUUUUCUUUUUUUUCAAAAUUACUUUUUUUUUUCAACUUUCCUAUUUUUUCUUUUUUUUUAUUUCUUUUUUUUUUCCAAAAUUAUUUUUGUUUCUUUAAAAUAUUGUGGAUUGCUGCGAUGUUUUUCCACAUAGUUUUUCUAUUUUAUUUCUUUAUUUUUUAAAAUUAUAUUUGUCGAUUUUUUUUUAAUAUUGAGCUGAUUGAGAAUUUAGUUUUAUAGUUUUUUUUCUUUAAAACAUUGUUGAUUGCUACAGUGUUUCUCCGCAUGGUUUUUUUAUGAUUUUCUCUGAAAUUAUCUUUUUUAUUUUAUUUUUUAAUAUUGAGCUGGUUAAAAAUUACAGUUACAAUAUGUGAGGAAAGCACUGUAACUUUCUUUGAAAGUUACUGUUGAUUGCUACAGUUUUUUUCCCACAUGGUUUUUUUCUGUUUUUGUUAUGUUUUUCCCUAAAAUUAUCUUUGUUAAUUUUAUUUUUUAAAUAUUAAGCUGGUUAAAAAUUGCAAUUACAAGUAAAUACAAGUUUUUCCUCACAAAACACUAUGGAUUGAUACAGUUUUUUCUCACAUGGUUUUUUUCCAGUUUCUUUUGUGUUUUCUUUUUUUGUGAUAUUUUUUUCCAAAAUUAUCUUCGUCGAUUUUAUUUUUUUAAUAUUGAGUUGUUUAGAAUUUAACUUUGUAAUAAAGCUUAAUCACGUGGGGAAAGCAUAGUAGCUUUGCUCAUAAAACAUUAUAGAUUGCUACAGUGUCUCUCCGCAUAGUUUUUUUUGUUAUAAUUUUUUUCAAAUUAUCUUUUUCAAUUUUAUUUUUUUAAUAUUGAGUUGUUUGUGAAUUACAAUUACAAGUCAUUACAAAUAAAGCUAAAUCAUGUGGGGAAGUAUUGUAGCUUUCAUCACAAAACACUGUGAAUUACUACAGUGUUUCCAACAUGAUUUUUUUUCCUUUUUUUUGUUAUUUUUUUUUCUAAAAUUGUCUCUGUUGAUUUUUUUUAAUAUUGAGCUGAUUAAGAAUUUAGCUUUGUAAUUUUUUUUUCUUUAAAACACUGUGAAUUGUUGUAGUGUUUUCCCAUGUGAUUUUUUUAUGAUUUUUUUCAAAAUUAUCUUUGUCAAUUUUUUUUUGAAUAUUGAGUUGGUUAAGAAUUAUAAUUACAAUAAAGGUAAAUCAUAUGAGGAAAACGUUGUAGUUUUUCUCACAUAACACUGUGGACUGCUACAAUAUUUCUCUAAAUGGUUUUUUAUUUUAUUUUAUUGGGAAAAGAUUUUCCUCACAAAACAUUGUCAAUUGCUACAAUGUUUUUUCUCAUGGGUUUUUUUCCUUCCAAAAUUAUCUUUGUUGGUUUUUUUUUAAUAUUAAGUUGGUGGAGAAUUUAGCUUUGUAAUUGUUUUUCUUUUUAUUAACUGAAAAACUAAAUCAUGUGGCGAAAGCACUGUAUCUUUCCUCACAAAACAUUGUAGAUUGCUACAAAUCAUUUUGUUCAGUCUCUAAAUUUUUUAUCACCAACACAACUUUUUUUUUCAUCAUGAAAUAUUUGCUCCUUCAUACCUUUAAUUUCUAUUACUUAUCUAGCGUUGGUUCACAAUUAUAACACUAUCAAGUGCAUUCUCGCGGUAGCGCGCGGGCAUUUCAUCUCGUAUAUAUGAAAUUUCAAUAUCAACUAUAUGAAUAUAGCUUAUAAUUCAUGUGAUCCUCAAAACCAACUAGGAUGACAAUUCUAAAAGAUAAAUAAAAUCACCAUGUAGAUUUUUAUUGAUUAUGUUCCAUACAUUUUAUCAUGGAUAUAAAAAAAACACGGUACAAUUAUUAUUUCUCAUGCCCUUCGUCGCGGGUUGGAUAAUCUUUUUAGUAAAAAACUAAAUAUACAAGCUUUUCAAAUGUAUUUCUUUUAAUUCUAAUUAAAAAUAAAAAAAAAGUCUAUGCAUGCAUUUAAUUAAAUACAUUGAGAACCAUCUAUGGGAAUAAAUGCAACAAAAAAAAAAAGCGGUAUCGCGUCUAUUCAACUCUCCUUGUUGUGGAUUGAAUUAUUUUUUUUCUAACACAAAAGAAUUAAUGUGUAGGUAUUAUUAACGUUUUUUCUAACAUCAAGUAAGAAAUAUAACCGUGAAUCAAAAAGUUGAUGCUUAAAUAUAAUAAAAUAUAGUAAAGAUAAUAUGCGUUAAUAAAAACUUGUAAGAUCCCAAACUAAUUCUUAAUGUAGCAGAAAAAUAAAAUAAUGUUGCAAUUGUUAUAGUGAAACAUCAUUUUCUUAAUCUUUGUAUAAUAUUUUUUUCAAAGAAGAGUGUAAAGAACAAAACUUAAAAAACAAAUUACAAAAGAAUAAAGAUAAGAACAAAAAGAAUAGUAUAAAUGACGCAAGUGUAGAUUGAUAAAUAUUCAAUAUAUAUAUAUAUAUAUAUAAAGAAAAACUAAAAUGAUAUUAUAAAAAAAACAGAAAAAAUAGUGUUAAAUAGACCAAGUAUAAAAUGUUAAAAAAAUAAAGUAUAAAAAAAAUAACAAUAAUGACCCAAAUAUGAGAAUCUAUUGAGUUAACUACUAAACACUCUAGAUCAUUUACUCUAAUAUAUAAUCAUUUUAGAUCUUUUCUCUUAUAAUAAAUGAAAUUAAGUGAAUUAAAAUUAACUUGCAAACCUCAACUGGGCUUUCCAGUUUGCCCAGGCAAGCUGUGAGAUAAAUUGCAAUACUAAUUAUUAACAAUGAUGAUCCUCUAAAUUGAUUAUUUAUAUUCUCCAACCUUUACUGAAAUUAAAAUAAGUGCUUAUAAUAACAAAACAAUAUAUUCUCUAGUCAAAAAGGAUUAUUAUCAAAUCUAAAAGAAACUCCUACAAACUUGAUAAUUUUAUCUCCUUAGCAUUCAAUACUGUUAAAGUAAUCCAAAUUAACAUAAAAAAAUAUAAACAUAAAAGAAAAAAAAGCCAAAGUUCUCGUUAAUUUGUUUUAAUCUAAAUACAAAGAGAUUAUAUAUAUGUUAAACUAAAAAUAUGAUUGUAUCCUUAAUAAAUAAAAUAAGAUAAAUAUAGUAUUUAAAAAAUACAAGAUCUUAACAAUAUACUUAUUUGGCAUUUAAAACCAAGUUAGGUUUUUUUUAUAAAAAAAAAAUACCUAUAUGCAAAAAUUAUAUCAUUUCAUUGUUAUGUGAAGGUCAUACAAUUGGCAUCUUUUAUUUUUGCUUUAAAAAAUUUUGAAUUUUUUUUCUUCCAGUUAUUUUUUUAAUGUUUUUAUAUUGUUUUGGUAUAUUAAAAAUAAAUUUUUAAAAUAAAAAUUUAUUUUAAUAUAUUUUUAAAUAAAAAAUACUUUAAAUAAUAAUAAUAAAAAUAAUAAUAAUAUCAAACACAAAGACACUCAUGUGGCCAGCUAAACCUGUAAGCUUUAAACCUUUCAAUAGUCAAAUCGAAUCGAAGUUUAUGCAGCAGCCCAAAACAAAUAGGGCCGGUCCACAAAUAGCUGGGUUCUGAAUUUAUAAAUUAAUUUUAUUGUAUUUUUUUACCACGAGUAGUCCGGUCCAUGAAUUAAUUUAUAUAUUUUUUUAUAAAUUAAUAUAGAUCUCCUUGCGGCUUCUAUAGGAUUUUUUUAAUGUUUUAUUUGCUUGAGAAAAAUUUAAUAAGGGUAAUAAAGAUUUUAAUUCAUUCAAUUCUUUUUUUAGAAUUUGAUUAAAGAGUUUCCCCCUUCUCUAAAUCCAGGAUAAUACAGAAAGUACACCGGAAAAAAUCCUGUUUAUUUUUUAACUUUUUUUAAUAUUUUUUUUAAAAAAAAGUUCAUUUUAUUCCCUGUAUUGUAAAUUAUUGCAAUUUUAUAAUAAAAACCAUGCGUUAAUAAAUUGAUUCGACAUAGAGCACAAGCAUGGAGUUACCGUUGAGAAGAUUUUUUUGUUGAGAAGGGUGUGUGUGUGUGUUUCACCUCUAGUAAAUAAAAUCUCGAAACUGUUCAGCCAAACUUUGUUAUGACGGGUGAAUUUUCUUUAAUAUAAUCCAUAAAUCUCUUACAGCCCUUCCAUGUGUUUCAUUCCAUUGUCGCUGGAAGAACAAUUUUAAGGAGGAAGAACAUAUCUUGCAUGUACGUGUAUAGCUCGUAUAUGGUGAUCGAGAGCUUCUGUACCAUUGCAGGUAUAUUUCACAUAUGUUUAACAAUUUCUUUCAGGAACAAAUUAAAAUCACCCACAUAAAACAUAAUGUUUAUAAUAAUUAUUAUCUUAUUAUAUAAUAUCAUUUUCUGUUUACAGUCUUCCCUGGCCUAGCAACACCACUUAAAAGCAGGAUACAAAAUAUUGAACAGUACAGCUUCUUUUUUUUUUUUUUUUUACUAGUGAUAUAUAAUCUGCAACACUGGUAGAAAGGACCUCGACCUCCUCCACACCUGCAAAGACAGAAGGAUACGUUAGAAAUCAAAAUUAUGGAAGAACAGAACGUGCAUGUAACAAACGAUUCACCAUUUUUGAGCUUUGACUUUGACAUAAUGGAGAAGCAGAGCAUGCAACAAGACCUACGUACAUAUAAUUAGUUUAUGAUCUAGAGGCAACAAAGACGAAGAAAAAAUAAUGGGAAAAGAAUUAACGAAAAAAAUAAGACAAAAAACUGUGCUGUAGGGAACAAAUAUAUGUUUAUAUACCUAAUGCAUGGAAGCAGUGCAAGAUUUUUAGUCGCUGUCACUGUGCCAUCAUCAUGCUGCUUCUACUAUUUCUCUCCUCCUUCACCACGGACACCACUAGCACGGCCACCCCCCGGGAGCUUGCCCUUGAUCUUGUCAACAAACCCUUCCUUGCGCUCACCUUGUGCGUCGCCCCUGUGCUCUUGUUGAUUGUACCCACCUUGCGUCAUGCCACCGACACCGACACCGCCACCGCCCCUGUGCUCUUGUUGAUUGUACCCACCUUGCGUCAUGCCACUGACACCACCACCGCCCCUGUGCUCUUGUUGGUUGUACCCACCUUGCGUCAUGCCACCGCCACCGCCCGGGAGCUUGUCCUUCAUCUGGCCAACAAACCCUUCCUGGCGAUCACCUUGUGCGCCGCCCCUGUGCUCUUGUUGGUUGUACCCACCUUGCGUCAUGCCACCGCCACCGCCCGGGAGCUUGUCCUUCAUCUGGCCAACAAACCCUUCCUGGCGCUCACCUUGUGCGCCGCCCCUGUGCUCUUUUUGGUUGUACCCACCUUGCGUCAUGCCACCGCCCGGGAGCUUGUCCUUCAUCUGGCCAACAAACCCUUCCUGGCGCUCACCUUGUGCGCCGCCCCUGUGCUCUUGUUGGUUGUACCCACCUUGCGUCAUGCCACCGCCACCGCCCCCGCCCGGGAGCUUGUCCUUCAUCUGGCCAACAAACCCUUCCUGGCGCUCACCUUGUGCGCCGCCCCUGUGCUCUUGUUGGUUGUACCCACCUUGAUCUUGGUGGUUGUACCCACCUUGUGUCUCCCCCUUGUGCACGCCACCGCCUCCCCCCGGGAUCUUGUCCUUCAUCUGGUCAGCAAACCCUUCCUUGCGCUGACCUUGUGCGGCGCCCCUGUGAUCCUGUUGGUUGUACCCACCUUGUGUCUCACCCUUGCGCUCAUCUUUCUUGCCUCCAAUGUUCAGAGUGUCCUCAAUCUUGUGCAUGAUUCCUGCCAUUGUGUAUUUCUUUCUUCUUUUCUCUCUCGUUGAAAUGGUUUUUGAUAUGAAGUGAUGAAGGAAACAAGUGCGCCAUAUUUAUAGGCUCCGAAGUGGAGCGAAGGAAAUGGAAGCAGACAGAAAAAGAAGAUAAAACUAAUGGUAUAAUUGGAAAUCACAAAAAUGUCCAUCUACGUGUACAGACUACAGACAGUGUUGAUGAUAAAUGUAAUAAACUCCAACGUAUCAUUUCCUUUAGAAAGGUCUUUGAUCUAAUCUGAAAGGCUAAAGGUGAUGUUGAAAGUUGUUAGGUCCCUGUUUAGGGCACCAUACAAGGGAAGGAAGCAAAUUCAUUUUAAUUAAACAUAUAUCCAUUUUAUUAUGCCAAAUAUUUCAAAGAAGAAAUGUCGCUUGUGGUCUCCGCCAUGGUCAUUUUCUCCUCUCGGAAGAUUUAAGCAAUGUUGAUAUCUUGUCCAAGAAAGAGUAAGUGUUUUAUUAAAAUUAAAAUGAAAUAAAUUUUUGCAAGUAAAAUAAAUAAAAGCAGUCUUUAGGAAUAAAUAAAAAUAUAUUAUUUUAAUUUUUACAAAACUAAAAUUUAAAAAAUAAUUAUAUAUAAGCCAGGUGUAGAAACAUAAAUUAUUUAAAUAAUAAUACAGAUUUUUCUAUGUUAUUAGACAAAAACAAAAACUAUUGUAAUUAAUACCUAAACAUAUUUUAACAAGAAAGCAUGUAAAAUAUCCAAAAUAGUAUAAAGAUAUUUUUUUUUAAUUAUAGGAUUAUCCUCUGCCAACAACUAAAGACGUGGCAUGGAUUUUAAUUUUUUUUUUUAAAUUAAGGAAAGG
RNAcentral lists this long non-coding RNA (26093 nucleotides) under Populus trichocarpa (black cottonwood). RNAcentral's name for it is "long non-coding RNA (PTRI_LNC003051)". The record is from RNAcentral. Lineage: Eukaryota; Viridiplantae; Streptophyta; Magnoliopsida; Malpighiales; Salicaceae.